Molecule: long non-coding RNA, 3243 nt
Filed under: Nicotiana tabacum (common tobacco)
Lineage: Eukaryota; Viridiplantae; Streptophyta; Magnoliopsida; Solanales; Solanaceae
Description: long non-coding RNA (NTAB_LNC009282)
Source: RNAcentral
UAAAUGACACUACAUUCUCAAUAAUAAUUAAGAUAGUAGAACAAUAACAAGAGUUUAAAGAGAUGACUAGUUCACUGCGUAGCUUUCACAUCAACAUUGGAAUCAGGAGGUCGCUCACCACCUGCCAAAAAUAAAAUGAUAAUUACAACUAAGAAAAGCAGAGCAGGACAGACACAAAAUAAAUUUAAAGCAUCAAUUUUCUCAUCAUUUGUCUGUAUAUAAAACAAUUUGGAAGUUCCAACCUGCACAAAGCAAACACCUUGAAGGCUUGACCAGAAAAUGCAGACCUUGCGAUCGAGAUAGACAAGUUGCAACGACAAGGGAGUUGAAUGUUUUAGGUAUAACAUUAUUUCGAUGUGAAACAAGACUUAUGUCCUACUAACGAAUUUUCCAAAGGAACCUAAAUAUACUACGAGAAAACAGACUUUUAGUUAUGACCCACGAAGUCGCCACAAAAUCAAGGGUUUUUCGUGGCGAUAUAUAGUUGCAUGACAAGUAAAGAUUUUAGACCUGAAAAGUCGCCACAUGUAAUCGAGACUAUAGGCUAAAUUUUUGUCCACUGAAAAUGAAAUAUUUUGAAAUAUUAGGCAUGGAAAAUUUUCGUGGUGACCUGCUGAAAGCCACCACAGAUAGGCAAUUGGGGUGACCUAGUCCCUUCGUUUGGUCCUUGUUUCCAGUUAAGCUGGAAUCGUUUCACUAAUGCAAGAAGCUCUUGCAAUGAAUCAUGCACUCUUUGAGAAAUUUAUAACAUCAGAUUGCCUAGGUUAGAAAACCACGAAAACUGAAUGAGUUCAAAAUCAUUUUUGGAAGAAAAGAGAAAAUGAGAUGGGAAGAGAAAAGCUACACAUUCUCUUAGUUCUACUCUUAAAUGAAUUGUUUCUUUUCUUCAGUAGUAAAGAACCUUGGCAUCAUCAAGAAGGAAAAAAAAGAAAGUAGAGAUCUUUCAUUUGGUUCCAGGAGGGUAUAAUCAUGAUGAAAAUGAAAAAAAUAGUUUAUGGCAAGGACAACCUCAAACUCAUAAUAAAAUGAGAAAUUUCAGGCAAAAGACAAAUAGAAAUACAUAUAUUUAUAGCAAAGAUAGGGAAAUGUUAUGAGGAAAGAGUUUUUUAAAAAAAAGGCAGACCGAUACACAAAGUAUCCCGCAUUCACGUAGGAUCCAGGGAAGAGUCGUAUCCCAUGGGGUGUGAUGUAGAUAGCCUACCCUAAUGCAAGCAUUAGUGGCUGCUUCCACGGCUCGGACCGUGAUGUACAGGUCACACGGAGAUAACUUUACCAUUGCUCCAAGGUUCCCCUUCAAUUUAUGAGGAAAGUGUGUUCCUAAAAAUUGUUGUUCAUGGGAGACUUGUCAUGUUUCUACCUGAACAACAUCAAAAUUGCCGUUAAAAGGGAUUUUCUAAUUCAUUUCUUAACACAACAAAAAAUGACAACAAAGAAUAACACAUAUCACAACAGCAUUGAUCAGUGUAAUCAUGUGAAUUCUCUCAUAAACAAGAAUAUUCGCAAUGGCCAUUAUAGUUAUGGUAAAGUGAAAAAUGUAGAUACAAUUCUUAAGUACUAAAUUCCCCAGAUCAAUUUGACCAUAAUGUGAAGAAAGAGAGUAAGUCUAAGUCUAUAAGAUCCUCGAAAUCUUUACGGUUCUUUUUUUGUGUAUAUACUAUGAAGUGUUGUGUACUCUAUAUCAUGACUUUUAUCAAUGAAAAGUUCAUAAAAGACUUAUUGAGAAAUGUCUGCAAAUUGGUGAUGGUCGCUGGUAUAUUGUUGGGCAAACUAAUAGAAACAUACAGUUGAUAUAAAUUAAUUAAAAUGAAAUUGGUAUUUGGGGCAACCACACUCGCCACCAAAUGUAUGCUACAAUAAACCAACAAAUACCCGUGACGACAUAUGAUCGCUGCUACAGAGGUUUAUUUGUGGCGACUAGGGCUGCCACUGAAAAGGAAUGUUCUUUGUGGCGACCAAUGUCGCAGCUAAUAUAUAUUAUACAAGUCGCCACUAAAAGCUACUCAACUAUAGCGAAUGCAAAUCGCCACUAAAGGUCAUUCGAGGCAAGUUUUGAGCUUCAGUAGUGACUUAGUUGGCACAAAAGCCCUCAUUUCUUGUAGUGCAAUUAGACAAGGUAAGGUCAGAGACAACUAAAAGAACCAUCAACAGUCAAAGACAUGACACUCAGCUGCACCCACGACUUUUAUGCACAUGGACAUGAAUUUUCAAGAAUCUCAAGUCUCCAUCAAAAUUGGGGAAGAGACCAAAGACUUCAAAAUGCCUUUGGGAGUUCCGGUACCGACCAAACAAAUAUAUCCACUAAGCCAGAUCAAACUACGAGUAUCGAAAUAGUCCAAAAUGCCAGUUGCUUGGGAAGCCAUUUUGAUAGAAGAUAUUCUACAAGGAUAAUUUCACUUAAGUUAGUCUUUGAUGAGCUAAAAGAUCAUGGAGAUGUUAAUUAUUUGUUGUUAAACUUAUCACCAAUUGGACUUCUGAUACUUUUUUGGGUGACCCAGAAACUCAUGUGGCGCCAACCCUUACUGCAGCCUAUAAAGGAAGCGAAGCUCUUAAAAGUGAAUUAGAUAACAUCCUUGUUGCUAAAUAACUAAAGAUCAGAAUGCAUCUAUUUUCAUUCCUUCUCUCAUUUAACAAUAUGGAAAGAAUGCAUGAUGUUGGUUGGGCCCGACAAUGAAGAUUUGAGCAAUUAUCCUUUUGGUGUACUGGAUGUUGCAGGCAAGCGCACACAAUAAUAGCAACAUAAUUUUUACAAUAUUAGCAAUAAAUUUUGGCAUAUUCGAAUAUAACAGAUCCAAAUGGAGUGAAAUAGUUGUUGUAAUUUGUUGUGUAGAAAAAUGCACAUGCAUAAAUCAAUGGGUGGUAUGCUAGAGAAAACAUACACCACUCACCUCCUCCCACCCCACCCCACACACCCCAAAAAAAAAACACGCCGGUCAGUGCAAGAAAAACCCCCACUAGGGACAAGGUAAUCCUAAGAGGGCACAAACAUUGCAAGUUUGUAUAUACUUAGCAUAAUCAUAUUGCAUAUAUAGGCAUUGUAAGUAACAAGGGAGAAGAGCAUAUUAAAAAAUUUACCUUUACCGACAGAUGGUUUCUUAAGCCUGCAAAAUCUAAUACGUCUGUCUCCAUUAAUUCCCCACCACGCCGAUGUUUGAAAGGUCUUUAGAGCAUCAGUUGUAGCAUCAUCAGCAUCUCUGGCUUGAAAGGUGAUACGACACCAAAACCCAGCAGCAAGUGAUGUGUUNN